ACCGCGACUGCUUUACUUGCAAAGAAACAAAAAACGGUGACUUCCAUGUUCCAAAAGUCCACUUAUCUGACAGAGGUGUUUGUUUGCGCAAAUAUCCCUUUUGAAAAAUUUGACAACCAAAAUAUACGGAAAUUCUUCAGACUGAGUGUAGCAAAUGGUGGAGUGAUUCCUUCAUCAGAGCCCAGCUGAGACGUGAAUACUUAUCUAAAGUUGCCGAGUAUCACAAGCAGGAGAUUAUGGAAUUGAUAAAACAGUCUCGUUGCUUGUCAGUGGCCACACUGACGAGUCGACUGAUGCACAAGAUCAGUAUGGGUUACACAUUGUAAGUGUUGCAAGACUAAAUGGUGAACAUGCACCUGACGUACUAGAAGUGAAAGUUGCCCUGCCCACAGGCUGUUAAUUACAACACCGUUUCACAAGCUAUUGUAAAGUGAUUGAAUAACUUUUAUGUUAAUUUUGAUGUCAGUGCAUUUAUCUGUAUAUUUGCUGUUCAAAAAAAAAAAAAAAAAAUCUGUAUACGUAAUUUAUAACAUAUUUCCGUGCACAUUCCGCAAAAUACGAUACUUUACCCGUGACACUGCCUUGAAUUAUCGCGAUUUUCACAGGGCCACAGUUAUUAUACACAGGUAAACCGUUCAUGGUAAUGUGUUAGGGUCCUUGAUAUCUGACCUAAUAUGGAUUCCAUAUUGAGGUCAUGUGACUUUUCAGUUGUCAUCUUACUAUUUGGUACACCGGUGUAUUUUCUCAAUUUAUUUCUAUUACCAGUGUUGUCCAGUAAACCACCCACUGUCUUUACAGUUGAUACACAUAAUUAUUUCAGACAAGUUCAGUUGCCAGUGUUCUACAGUAAAAACACAUGUUUACAUUGUUUUAACCACUGAUGCAGAUCUUUUUCACAUACACAUUGUAGUUCAUGUUUACUAACAGUGCCACUGGAAAUGUAAUUCCCAGGGAUGCUUUGUUUUUGUUCUCAAUCAUUUUGAUGUUUUAUUUUACAGAUAUAACCCAGCUAUCAAAAUCCAAGAUAGCAUAUGUGAUCAUCCUGAUGUUUCAGGGAAAAAUUUCUAUAAAUAUUUUAAGCGCCCCUUGAUUCCGUUCUCCCAACAUAUCCCACCAGAAGUUGUUCUUGGAAUACCCAAAGCAGAUCCCUUUGCACCUCCUGAUGGCAGGAGACCUGCAACCCUACUAGUGCGUACAGUAGCUGUACAAACAGAUUACAGAGAAAGCGAGGCCCAGACUGAUCCCUGCACCCUAGAGUCAAGGUCUACCAUCUGGUGUGGCAGAAGUGGAGAUGAUAGAGCGGGCAAGAGUGAAGCAUGCCUGGGAAGCAACCCUGCCACCGCUAAAUGAUCUCCCAUAACUAGACAAAAGGAGAAGAAUGAUGGAUGAGAUGGAAAGACAGGAGUGGGCAAUCCGAGAAGCAGAAACAGAGAGGUUGCAGGAGGCCCAUCUGGAGGUGCUGAAGAAACUCCUCAAGCAGCGUGAAGAUAAGCAACAGGAAGCAAGAUCGUAACUCUGAGCGAUGUGUUGUGAAAAGCCGAAUCCAUAGUACUUUUGAAGGCUCUGAAAGAUGAGAAGACAAAAGGUGAAGAGAAGCAUCCAUUGCGGUUCCUGCAGAAGAUAGAAAAGCCAAUUCCACACCCCGCCACUCCUACUGUUCGAGCACCACCUGAGGGAGAGGAGGAGAAAGAACUUGCAGUAAUUUACUUGCAGAAACUCUUAAGAGGACGAGCCAUUCAAAAUAUGGUGUCUGGUGGUAGAAGAAACCUAUUGGGGCCUAUGGUAGGCUACAUAAUGGCUUAAAAAAAAAGAAAAAUGGUAUGUGACCUGAAAGUUAGCAGCAAAAUAUAUAUCCUUAAAAAAUAGUACCUCACAACAAGGAAAUAAUCCAUUAAAGAAAUGUAAGUACAAAUUACCCAUAUAUAAGAAACCACAGUCAUUAACUCCACAACAGCCAAUUACCGGAUUCUGCCGAGUCAACACCCCGGUUUGAAAGAUCACCCCACCCCAACUUUUAGCUGAAAGUCACAUUUUCACCAUUCAUUUCCAUUUUUUAGUAACCAUGAGCAAAUAAUGCCUGAGGGGAAAUAUCGCAGCUCACGUGAAUAGAAAAAACUGCCUAGAAGUAGUUGCUCUGUGCAUUGAAUGAUUCAGGGUGAGGGUUAUGGUUAUCUUCGGUUCAGAUAACGAAGACGUGGAGUUCAGCGGUUUCGGAUCAGAUGAUACAGACUCUGCAGUCUGAUUGAUUACAUUUUCCUGGUGCAAUCCAUAUUUUAGAUUUUCUUUCUUUUUUCUUUGUAUUCUUUUUUUUUUAGACAGUGCAAGAGCUUGUAACUCAGGAACCAUUUUUUGUAUUGUUCAUUUUAAUUCUAUAGUGCUACUUUGGGAUUUAUGAUUUUAUGUUGUGUUUUCACACUAGACACUGCAACUUGUAGAAGUUAUGUAAAGCCCUUUAUUUCACAUGUUUAUAUGUUUUUUAAAUGUAGCGACUUUUAUUUUGGCGUUUUUCACAUACAAAUGUGGGUUUUCAUGAUGUGGUUUUGCACUAGACACUGCAGAUUCCUUCUUCAAUUUCACUAUCUCCCAUAUGAUAUUUAUAAUAAACAUUUUUAUUGCCUGCAUACAGUACCUUACACUUUUCUCUAUUAAAUGUCAUUUGCCAUGUGUCUGCCCAGUUCUGAAUGCUGUCUGAAUCAUUUUGAAUGACCUUUGCUGCUGCAACAGUGUUUGCCACUCCUAUUUUUGUGUCAUCUGCAAAUUUAACAAGUUUGCUUACUAUACCAGAAUCUAAAUCAUUACUGUGGAUUAGGAAUAGCAAAGGACCUAAUACUGAUCCCUGUGGUACACCACUGGUUACCUCGCUCCAUUUUGAGGUUUCUCCUCUAAUCAGUUCUUUCUGUUUUCUACAUGUUAACCACUUCCUAAUCCACGUGCAUGCAUUUCCUUGAAUCCCUACUUCGUUUUAUUAUUUUAGUCUUCAAACUCACUAUUUCUUUCUGUUGUAAUUGCAGGAAGGAUUGUCUUAAACACCGUACAUAAAAGUGUGACAGAACCCCCUGCAGUGUUUACAAGAAACACGUCACAGUACUUUACUUUUGCUAUAUCCCGUUUUGUCCAUAUUGCAGCAAUUAUCUUUUCAAUAUAUUCCAGAGUCUUGAUAUUUUUUUUUAUUCACACAUCAUAGGUAAAUAAACUAGGGAAUUGCUUUUUUUUCUACUUUUACUCUGGAACGUUUUUUUAGGAGAAUGUUUUAUUUUUUUUUCCAAACAUUGCAGUGUUACCCAAUUUGUACUCGUUGGUGCUCUGGUUGAAAUGAGUGGCGUAUUGUGGGAACAGAAAACCAGCAUUGUUGCAGGAGGGAGUAUGAUCUGGAUACACUGCAAUCCUAAGUAAAUGUUGAGAAACGCCUUGCCCAGUUGACUCAUGAUGUAUGAUUCAACAUUUAAAAAGAGUUGGCAGUAUGUUUAAAAAUAUAAGACUGCGAUACAGACAACACAGGACACAGCAAAGUUAACGUAAUGUGUUAUUGUAAACUUUGCAAGGUGUUCUGUAACACUUUAAUCAAGUUUGCCUUUUCUUUUUCAGAUCAUCUUGGUGGAUGAUAGCUCAUCAUGUAGAAAAGAAAAUCUACUCACUUCAAAACAGAAAGUGCAUCUUGCUUCCCUGGCAGCCUGUCUCAAAGUAAAUACCCAGGAAAUCUGUUUAAUGUCAUAAAUAAAGCAAUACAUUUGAUUAUUUGCCA
Long non-coding RNA from Acipenser ruthenus (sterlet), 3742 nucleotides. RefSeq lists it as uncharacterized. NCBI's taxonomy places the organism in Eukaryota, Metazoa, Chordata, Actinopteri, Acipenseriformes, Acipenseridae. The transcript is spliced from 9 exons. The record is from RefSeq and is a predicted model, not a curated record.